UACGGAGGGUGCGAGCGUUGUCCGGAAUCACUGGGCGUAAAGGGCGCGUAGGUGGCGACUCAAGUCAACGGUGAAAGCUCGACGCUCAACGUCGAGUCGGCCGUCGAAAUUGGGACGCUUGAGCACUGUAGAGGCAGAUGGAAUUCCGGGUGUAGCGGUGGAAUGCGUAGAGAUCCGGAAGAACACCGGUGGCGAAGGCGGUCUGCUGGGCAGUUGCUGACACUGAUGCGCGACAGCGUGGGGAGCAAACAGGG
RNAcentral lists this ribosomal RNA (254 nucleotides) under uncultured bacterium. RNAcentral's name for it is "partial 16S ribosomal RNA". It matches the Rfam family "Bacterial small subunit ribosomal RNA", at positions 524 to 777 of the family's 1533-position model. The record is from RNAcentral.